This 131-nucleotide ribosomal RNA is filed under the name Pseudomonas sp. enrichment culture. RNAcentral describes it as "partial 16S ribosomal RNA". It matches the Rfam family "Bacterial small subunit ribosomal RNA", at positions 337 to 467 of the family's 1533-position model. Lineage: Bacteria; Pseudomonadati; Pseudomonadota; Gammaproteobacteria; Pseudomonadales; Pseudomonadaceae. The record is from RNAcentral.
GCCUACGGGAGGCAGCAGUGGGGAAUAUUGGACAAUGGGCGAAAGCCUGAUCCAGCCAUGCCGCGUGUGUGAAGAAGGUCUUCGGAUUGUAAAGCACUUUAAGUUGGGAGGAAGGGCAUUAACCUAAUACG